GCUCGGUUAGCUCAGUUGGUUAGAGCGUCGUACUAAUAUUAUAUCGUCUGGUAUAACAUUGGUAAUGCGAAGGUCAUGAGUUCGACCCUCAUACUGAGCA
This 100-nucleotide transfer RNA is filed under the name Xylariaceae sp. FL0594. Its description in RNAcentral is "tRNA-Ile". It matches the Rfam family "tRNA". From Rfam's summary of the family: Transfer RNA (tRNA) molecules are approximately 80 nucleotides in length. Their secondary structure includes four short double-helical elements and three loops (D, anti-codon, and T loops). Lineage: Eukaryota; Fungi; Ascomycota; Sordariomycetes; Xylariales; Xylariaceae. The record is from RNAcentral.